RNAcentral lists this unclassified non-coding RNA (169 nucleotides) under uncultured Myxotrichaceae. RNAcentral describes it as "sequence contains ITS1". Lineage: Eukaryota; Fungi; Ascomycota; Leotiomycetes; Myxotrichaceae. The record is from RNAcentral.
CCGAGCUUCCCGCCCCUGUGGCGGAACUCCCACCCGUUGUGAUUGCUACGAUCGUUGCUUUGGCGGGCCGUUGGGCCCUGCCCGGCCGCCGGCCCCGUGCCGGCGCGUGCCCGCCAGAGACCCUUUAAAACUCUAAUGUUGUGUCGUCCGAGUCUUCUUUAAAUCGUUA